This 1126-nucleotide long non-coding RNA is filed under the name Vulpes vulpes (red fox). RNAcentral describes it as "lncRNA (ENSVVUG00000027972.1)". Lineage: Eukaryota; Metazoa; Chordata; Mammalia; Carnivora; Canidae. The record is from RNAcentral.
GACUGGUCCGGGGUCACCGAGCGCACGCGGCACCGAACUUCAUUGAUGCUUCGAAAACUACCUGAAACCUACUUUACCUGACGAAGAAAGUAGUCUCCUGAGCGAAUAAGCCUGCGUCUUAGGAUCCCAGGCAGAGAAGGACAUUCCUGGCCAUUUAUAACUCUUGUAGAAAGAGAACGGUGGAGCAGAGCCAACCUACAGUAAAUACUCAGGACCAGUCCUGGCAAGAGACUCUUUGCAGCCCAGCUGGAAACCUUCACCAGCUCCCAGGAAAUGUUGACUGCCAGAGUUCCAGGAAUUUGCAACAUGCUGCAGCAAAGGAGACUGAUCUGCUUGGACUUACUUUUUUUGAAAACAUUGCUGUGUAAACCAAAAUGGCUUUCAAUGUGCAAAGCUAUAGAAAAUAAUACAUUGGUGGUCUUUAUGUUUCACCUCCUAUGUGAAAUCUUCAUUGAUGCCUUCCACCCAGCAACGUUCUACAAAACAGUAAUUCCUUCCACUCUGAAGAUAUGCCAAGACCACAAGAAUUUGAAUGCCACAGAACACCUGCAAAGCAGGCAAAAAGAAAUGAAGACUUGCAAAGGAGGAGGAUGGGCAGGGAGCAUGAGUAUCUUCUUAUCCACUGAUGAUCAAAUAACCACCAUUGGAAAUUCUUCAUUGUCCACACAGAUUAUGAAGUGCACUCAAGAAGUAGUAAGACCUGAAGACCUGACCAAAUUAGAAGGAAAGUCUGCACACAACCAGCAUGGCCAUGCCUGGGAGUUCUGGCUUCACUGUGGCUGAAUUAAGCUUGGGGAAAUGCCUGAAACAUUAGUGCUCUGGAUGGUACUGGUUAGCUGGAGAAUCAGGCUUGGAAGAAGAAGGAACUAAGUGAGCUCUGAAGGACUCAGGAGCACAGAACAGGCUAUGUGGAUGCUGGCUUCUUGGCUGCUGCAAAGAACAAGCUCUGAGGAAUGGAGUCACACUGCAUUUGGGAUCCCAAGUCUCAGAUAAUGUGACUGCAUAGAAGGUGUUGAGGAAGAAGAUCCAGUUUCUUCUUUUACCUCCCACUGGGAGAGCAUGCCAACCACGACAGAGGGCUUACCAGAAAGAAACCAAGGGGCCCUUGACAUCUUAGGGACAUGAG